ACGUCUGUGUUGUGGGGCAAUGGAGAUGUGGAAGUAUGUGUCCUGCAGAUCGAGGGCGGCGUACUAGUCCCUGGGAUCCAGGGAGGGGAUGAUGGAGGCCAGGGAGACCAUGUAGAACUUGGAGGAAAGCACACGACCAGCUGGAGAAGGGAAGCUUUAUUGAGGGUAGAUCCCUGAUGAGAACUGGUAGGGCACCCCCGGGCGUCCCGUCAAAAUCGCCUUUUCCCCAUUUGCUUGCCCUUGGAGGAUCCAGGCUGGGGGCCAGGGUGAGACUGACUCUGUAGGCACCUCUUAUAGUCUCGCGACUUCUUGUAAGAGGUCUCAUAUUUUGAGUGGGUGGCCUGAGCAGGAGUCUGCUACGGCUUGAACUUAGGUUUAGCCGGAGCCGGAACUGGAACUGAGAGACCCAGAGUC
Molecule: non-coding RNA, 414 nt
Organism: Chelonoidis abingdonii (Abingdon island giant tortoise)
Lineage: Eukaryota; Metazoa; Chordata; Testudines; Testudinidae
Source: RefSeq, a predicted model, not a curated record